UACGAAGGUUGCAAGCGUUGUUCGGAAUCACUGGGCUUAAAAGCGCAUGUAGGCGGACAGGAAAGCGUUUUGUGAAAUCCCUCGGCUUAACCGAGGAAUUGCUUGGCGAACUUCCUGUCUUGAGGCAAGUAGGGGUGCAUGGAACUCUUGGUGGAGCGGUGGAAUGCGUAGAUAUCAAGAGGAACGCCAAUGGUGAAAACAGUGCACUGGGCUUGUACUGACGCUGAGAUGCGAAAGCGUGGGGAGCAAACGGG
RNAcentral lists this ribosomal RNA (254 nucleotides) under uncultured bacterium. Its description in RNAcentral is "partial 16S ribosomal RNA". It matches the Rfam family "Bacterial small subunit ribosomal RNA", at positions 524 to 776 of the family's 1533-position model. The record is from RNAcentral.